This is a long non-coding RNA of Sebastes umbrosus (honeycomb rockfish), 417 nucleotides long. RefSeq lists it as uncharacterized. The transcript has 3 exons. NCBI's taxonomy places the organism in Eukaryota, Metazoa, Chordata, Actinopteri, Perciformes, Sebastidae. The record is from RefSeq and is a predicted model, not a curated record.
UAGAACAAAAACCCACCGUGAAACAAUCAUAAAUUACCGUUUUAUUUCUCAGAUUCACUGCUUUGUUCUCACUGACGGCGCUUUCUCUUUGUUCAAUCCAUAGCCCGCUCGACCAUCGCUUCUCUCGCUCUCCCUCUCGGCUCGUUGAGCUGAGCGGCCAUCUUUGAAUGCUGUGUGUUUACAGACAGGAACCCACAACUUGUUUUCUUUUUGUGUAACUUUAUUUUUACGGUAACUUGAUGUGUGGGUCGGCACGGAAGCUAACGUUAGCUCUAAUGCUACUUUCACUGCUCUGUGCACAUGUGGAAAUUGUGCAAGGAUGCCUAGAGAACCGGAAAAUAUAUGCUGCUUGGAGACACCACAGGAGCUUAAAAACCACCACGGUGAAUCUACCAAGAGGCCGAGGCAAAAUUGGAG